RNA transcript from Triticum dicoccoides, 3002 nucleotides. RefSeq lists it as uncharacterized. The record is from RefSeq and is a predicted model, not a curated record. The transcript has 7 exons. NCBI's taxonomy places the organism in Eukaryota, Viridiplantae, Streptophyta, Magnoliopsida, Poales, Poaceae.
GCCCCCUCUGCCCAAUCGCGACGGCGGUCCCUCCGUCCGUCGGAGCCGGCAUCUUCUCCACAUUCGACCGAGCAUUGCUUCCCGCAGCUGCUCAUUGGCGCGGCCGCCCUCCCCCACUGCUGCCAUGGCCGUCCAUGCUCCUCCAGUCCUCCCCUUCUUUUUCUCUUCCCCGACCCCACCCCAUCGCCGGCAAACAGGACAGCGCGCAUCCACCAGCUGAAUGGCCACCGUGUGCCUGGAAGCUGCCCACCUCCCCGACGGUGGAGUCGCUCCUCCACGACGAGGGUCUGGAUGGAGGGGUCGUCCCCAUCCCUUCGUCCAAGGGUGAGCGGGCCUCGCCGUGCCUGAGGACGGCCACCAACCACCGCGUCCACAACCUCCCAGAGCAGCCACACAUGUGCCUCCUCGCUGCUCAGUCCCUGGCCACGCACGCUCUAGCCGCAGCGUCCAGGCCGUUCACAGUUGCCACCCUAGUCCGUUCACCACCGCCAACCGAGGCCGAUCGACAAUGCAGCGAUGAGGUCGUUCAACGACACAAUGGUGGUUCGGCACAUGGCCUGUUCCAACGAUCUCUAAUGGUGGUCAUGGCGUGGUGUUGGAGGCCCCGUAUGCAAACAGGGACAAGUUGUGGGAUGGCAUACAAGUGGGGAUGGCAACAAAGCUUGAGAGAUUUUAUGUUGCCAUAUCGGGCUUCACAGUCAAUAGCACCAUGCUCUGGGAUCCCAAACUGAGGUCCCAUCAGGUCUGGAACACGACCCGGCACCCGGAAAAUGGUGUAACAGGGCUUCCAAUUUUCAUGGAUGCUAGCCGGCAAUACGUCGAAGAUUCCUGACUUGUGGUGAUAGCGGCCACCACUAAGGGCAUUUGCUUCCAGCACAGGAGCUACAUGCUCGACGGUUGCACACUGCCGCCAUGGACAUGCACAAAGAUAUUGAGUACAUAAUUGUGUAUCGCACAGUACAUGUAUUACUACUGGGAAUGUUCAGAAAUCAGAACUCAAAAGAAGUAUUGACAGCACAACUACUGUAUAUUCAAGGAGUCAGGUUUUGCUCCUACAUCACCUCGUCUCCUCCGUUCGGCAAAAGCCUCAGAUAAGUUCACACCAUGGUUUCGCUCUUUCGUAUAAUUCUUGAGUCCAGACUCCUUCGGUUUUUGUUCCAUACAAAUUAAAGAAACCUGUAGAAGUUUGGGGUAUAAAAUUCUAUAAGUUCAAAACCGGGAAACUAGUAAGUUCAGACAAAAUUAAAACUGUCAAGAGAACAUGAGAGUUUUUGUCAAAGAACCGAGGCUUCCCCACGCCAGUACAAACUUUUUAAAUGUGUGGAUUUUGUCAAAGCAAAAACUGAAUGGGUGGCAAGAUGAAUGUAGUUGUUCUUAAAAGUUUCUUUUUGAACUUCUCCUCUUAAUAUACAUGAACUUGAUUAUCUUUUUAACCGGUUAAAUAUACAGGGUUGGCAAGACGACUAUAGUUGUUAUAGCAAAAAAGUACAUUUUUCUUAAAAAAGUUUCUGUUUGAACUUCUCCAAUUAAUAUACAUGAACUCAAUUAUCUUUUUAACAUGUACUCACAUGAGCUCGUUUGGAUUUUUGUGUUUACUUGUAACACAAUCAGUUCAGAUCUCGAGAGACCGUAAGUUUAGUUCAUCUUUUUAAUGCUUUUCAGUACAUCUACUUACCAAUCGUAAGUUCAAUUUCCUUUGUGUUUCCAUGUUAUUUCUAUAGCACAACAGGUGUGUGUGGUUAUGUUAAUGAGCGCAUGUAACAAAGUUUAUUUUGUAAGUUCAGAGAAGCAACGAGGUAAAAAGCAAAAACACUAAAACCAUGCAAUUCUUGUAAAGAUAUCUGAAAGUUCAACAAUAAAAUUUAUAUAAGUUUAGUCUCAAGUGGAGAUAAGUUGCUGCAUCUCUCUCUGCCCGUGGAUGCUCAUGUGCUAUAGUUGCUUUCUCCCCUUCCUGUACAUGCUGCUACUCACCUUUUAAUCUCUCUGAUGCGUUGUGUUGCACUACUGCAGCUUGAUCCAGGACGUGCUAGCUCAUGCUGGCUGGAACUAGGAUGCAAAAGGGUUGACGGAUCCAUGCCGCACAAGCACUGAUGCUCUGCUUUCUUCUUACUUUGUGUUCUAAUUUGCUUAUUGGCCUAUAUGGGAACUGAGUGAGUGCAUUUCACCAAGGCAUUCCAUUGUGCUGAUGUCCGGCGUCUGUCCUACCCCAUCGCCUUCGGUCUUUUUCCAGUUUGAGACAGUGAGAGCCGCCUGGGACUCGCCGGGGACCAAGCUGCACCAUUGAGAGCCUCCACAAGUACGUCUUCCUACCAGCCCCCGAUGGUAGUUUUCUCCACCGUAAGAAGCCCAACAAGAUGAACCGUACACGCGAGGAACCUCCCGAGCGUAGCAACUCCUCCGUCCAAGUCGAGCGUUGGGCGCCGUCCAGGUCGAGCACUGGGUGCCAUCCAAGUUAAGUCAUCCAACAAAUGGGAGAGCGAGCUUUGCUCCGGGGUAGCCCAUCCUAGACGCGCAGCUGCUCUGCUCUCCACAUGAAUUUAGAUUGGAUUGGGUUGUAGUGCAUGUCAGGCUCUAUUGAUCUCCGUCCACGAGUGGUGCUACCUCGAGUCCGGUCGACGGCCUCCACGAGCGCGAGCAGCCCGUAUCCGGCGGCAAGAUGAAGGUCACCCAUGAACCAUGCUUCCUCUAAUCACAUCCACCUUGUGUGAAUUCGCAGCUGAGAAUAAGCACAAGCACCUACAGUCCCCCGGUGGCUUUGGCCGCACUUGGCCACUAGCUCGUCCAUCAUGGUGACUGGCAGCCGUCCAAGUGGAACGCAGACAUCAGUCCAAGGAGAACUAGUUCGUAUAAACUGAGAGUUAUGUAUAAUUAGGGGAUCCAAUGUUAAAAAGUUCAAUUAAGCCGUGUGUGCAAAUUCAAAGAAUUAUUGUAGGAAAGUUUAGAAGUUUGGUUUCGUGAGGAAAAUGUAUGAUUUUCUAUCAGUAUUUGGUAUGAUUCAUUUA